Molecule: ribosomal RNA, 253 nt
Filed under: uncultured bacterium
Lineage: Bacteria
Description: partial 16S ribosomal RNA
Rfam family: Bacterial small subunit ribosomal RNA
Source: RNAcentral
UACGGAGGGUGCAAGCGUUAUCCGGAUUUAUUGGGUUUAAAGGGUCCGUAGGCGGUUCUGUAAGUCAGUGGUGAAAUCUCAUAGCUUAACUAUGAAACUGCCAUUGAUACUGCAGGUCUUGAGUAAGGUAGAAGUAGCUGGAAUAAGUAGUGUAGCGGUGAAAUGCAUAGAUAUUACUUAGAACACCAAUGGCGAAGGCAGGUUACUAUGUAUUAACUGACGCUGAUGGACGAAAGCGUGGGGAGCGAACAGG